GAGCGAGAAAAGGGGGGCAACUCCCUGAGUAAAGCGGCGCACGGGUGAGUAACACGUGGGUAAUCUGCCCUGGAGUGGGGAAUAACACCGGGAAACCGGUGCUAAUACCGCAUACGAUCACGGAGUCUGCGGAUUUUGUGAUGAAAGGAGCAAUUCGCUUUAGGAGGAGCCCGCGGCUGAUUAGCUAGUUGGCGAGGUAACGGCUCACCAAGGCGAUGAUCGGUAGCUGGUCUGAGAGGAUGGCCAGCCACACUGGAACUGAGACACGGUCCAGACUCCUACGGGAGGCAGCAGUGGGGAAUCUUGCGCAAUGGGCGAAAGCCUGACGCAGCGACGCCGCGUGGGGGAUGAAGCUUACUCGGAGUGUAAACCCCUUUCGACCGGGACGAAUGCCCGCAAGGGAGUGACGGUACCGGUAGAAGAAGCCCCGGCUAACUACGUG
RNAcentral lists this ribosomal RNA (442 nucleotides) under uncultured bacterium. RNAcentral describes it as "bacterial SSU rRNA". It matches the Rfam family "Bacterial small subunit ribosomal RNA", at positions 64 to 507 of the family's 1533-position model. The record is from RNAcentral.